Long non-coding RNA from Camelus dromedarius (Arabian camel), 7450 nucleotides. RefSeq lists it as uncharacterized. The transcript has 6 exons. NCBI's taxonomy places the organism in Eukaryota, Metazoa, Chordata, Mammalia, Artiodactyla, Camelidae. The record is from RefSeq and is a predicted model, not a curated record.
CGCUGGGGUUUUCUGGUACCCCACAGGUGGGGGGCUUGGGCGGUCGCCUUGGGGCGGGGCCUUUAGGUAUCCCGGACGACAGGACCUUUGGCGAUCUUCUCGUCUUGCACUGUGACCAGGCUGCCUUUCCACAUGAGAUGGCAGAAUGACUGCUUACAAGUUCAAAUCAUAUCCUUACCAGCAGAGAGUUUCUUUUCCACAACGCUACCAACAAAAGUCUCAGGACUGCAUCUUGUUGGUCUAACUUGGGUUAUUUGUGUAUCAUUAAGCCACUCUCUUCAGAAGGGGCAUGGAAUAUUCUGACAGCGCAGACCUGGGUCACAUGCUAACUUCUGGAGCUAAGGUGUGGUCAGCAGCUCUUAAAUCUCAUGGACUGAGAAUUGGAGAAAGAUGCCUUCCUUGAAGUCAGUACUUUAAAAAGUCCUUAUUAUGUUUGUGCCAUGGAAUUAAUUGAAGUGGUAAAAGAGCUCCGUGUCACACUCAAGUGUUGCUGGUGGAAUGUAAAAGGAGACAGCUGACUGUGGGAAACUAUUUGCCAGUUUUUCAAGGGUUUCUUUUUGAGGUGGUGAAAAUAUUCUAAAAUUGGUGGUGGUGAUGGUUGCAAUAUCCAUGGAUAUACUAAAAACCACUGAAUCGCACAAUCUAGAUGAGCAACCUGUGCGUUUCCUCUGGAUAUAUGCCCAGGAGUGGAAUUGCUGGAUCACAGGGCAUGUAAGACACAAUACAGAAGUGGUUAAGACGCAAUAGAGAAGUGGUUAUCACAGGAAACAGACGUCGGUUUUGAAGUCAAGGUACUAAAUCAGUAUUAAGCACAAUCCAUAAAGGUUAAUGAUCUAUCAACACUGGUCUAUUAACACUGUUAUCUUGCCUCUUGGUUCCAGGUUGCCUAAGAAAGCUGUUAAGUGUAGUUCUAGUGAGUAAUCACUGGAUGGAGAAAUGCCAUAAACCCUAUGGGGAUUAUUCGGCCUGCCAAAUGAACCCCCAAGAGGAACCAGGAACGGUAAUUUCGACUUCCCAGCAGGGGUGUGUCGGGCUUUUAGCAAACCAUUCCUCUCAGUUAUCAGGCUUUCAAGGUGUGUGAUAUUUGGAUUACCUGCCCCAGAAUCACAUGUGCUGUCAGUUAAGAAUGCAGACUCUUGGGCCUGGUCCCAGUCCCACUUAAUCAGUGUGUCUGUGGUUGGGGUGUAGGAAUCUGCAUUUUAAAUAAACUCUCUAAGGGAGCUUUAUUUUCAUGAGAGUUUGCAAAGCUUUAUCUGCCAUUCUCAAUAGUACACAGUCAGUCUAGGGGAAGACGUUUGUGUAUGCAGCCGGCCAGACACAGCAGCCCCAUUUCUGAGAAGGCUUACUUCUCCCAGAUAUAUGUGCUCAGGAAUGAGGACCCAAAGAGUCUACCGACACCAAGGAAGUUAAUCAAUGACUCAGGUUUGGUUUGUCGAUGUAGAAAGGAGAGGACGGAGGAGAGUGAGCGAGGCUGUCUCUGAAAUGAGCACCCCUGGUUCUCCCAGAGGGAACCAGAUGUGCAGGAAAAUACACAGGAAACAGCCAGGUUGCCUGUCUGUCCUUUUAUAAGUGAUGCAAUCACCUUUUGCAAAAUGAAAAGGGAUUUUUCUUCCUUUAUGGGCGGAAGUCUCAUCACCCCUGCUCCUGUCUUUCUUCUUCUUCCGCUUCUCUUAGGUCUCAGUUUCUUUGGUUGGGGGAUUGGGGAGGAAAGCAAUCAUGUAGUUCACAGAACCAAAACCAAAUUAGUUUUCAGGGUAGAUCCAGUACAAAGACAUCAAGCACAUGUUCGCUGGAAAUGCACAAUCAGAAAGCGGAUGUGCACGUCUAACAGGCGAGUGACAGAAUGUUACACCCAGGGCUGGCUCACCAUGCCAUGUGAAGGUGACACAAGUGUUAUCACAGGUACAGAAUCAGUGAGCCGGGUAGAGAUCAGGUCUGCACAGGAGGUGGGGGAAGACUGGACUUAGAGGUCUCCAGCCUUUCAGUGGAUUUGGAAAGUAAGAGCAGAAUCUCGGCCUUGUUUCAGUUCUGAAGAAUGUGGCCACCUUUGGUCACUGACUGGGGGAAGCUUCAGUCACCAUCCUCAAAGAUGACAAAGACUUUGCAAAACUGGUUGGGCUGAACUCCAUACCCCUCACCUAGAAUACUGCUUUCAACCCCCACCCCCAUCCUCAUCAUUUGAAAUUUCCAGGACCAGGAUAAUCUACCCUUUGCCAGAGUCAAAGGCUUUUCAAGAUCCUUGUCCAUAGAGUUCUUGGAUUAAAAAAAAAAAAAAAAAAAAGGCUUGAAAGCCAAGUUUCAGAAUUAAGGGUUGAACCACUGUCAGCACGGCUUGAGCAGCUAUAAAUGGAGGGCAGGUGAGUCUCCUUCGAGGCAGGCUCAUUCCUUCUUGGUGUGUUCCAGGACUCGGUAGGGAACCCCGGAGGCGCUUCUGGAGCCGUGUUCUUCCUGCAUGACGGGCAGUGUGGCAGGAGCGUAGAUCUCAGAAAUGUUGUCAUUGUUUUCCAGGGCCCCGUAGGAGAAAGAAGCUUUGAGGUCGGGCUGCACUGUCAUCCCCUUGUCAUGCAUGGUUUGCAUACCUGAAAUGAAAUCCAUUCCCCUCCUCAGUCAUGAUGUGGUCAGGGGGCCAAAGGAGACCGUAGCUUCCUCUAUCCCGCCACAGACUAAUUACCGUGCUCAGGAGCUAAUCAUGGUCAUUGUCAAUUUCCUGAAUGCUUUAGAUUGAAAAAAGAGCCCCAUAAAUAUACAUUAGAAAUAUAAUGGUUGCUAAGCAACAAAGGAUGAACCUUCAGGAAAUAUGCACACAGACCAGCCACUGUCAAGAGAAAACACCCGUUGGCUCAGAACAAGGUGGGAAUGUCUGGGCCAUAGGGGGAGCGGAACCAGCACUGUGGCUGAACGUGGUAGAUGCCAGUGCUUUUCUGCUGAAUGAAAUCAGGAUCCAGAAAACUUCAUUAUACUGUUGAGAAGAGAGAGUAACUAUUGUGUCACGAAUAUGUGAUGGUGACACCGUGUAUUUGUAAAAUGCUCAGAGGGAGAGUUCUGACCUUUAACCCUAACAUCCCUGAUCCACAUACGGCGUAGGGUGCGGUUUUGCUUAUUCUGUGCAUACUCAUGUUGGAUUUCUACCUACAUUUGAGGGCAAAGACUUUAGUCAGUUAUUUCUGUAAACGUAUUCUACAAUUCCCCUAACCAGGUGGGAUGUGGUCUCCUCUGAGGCCAAUUCUUUUCCUGGUAGGGAAUUAAGAUCCUUCAAAUUCUCUUAGCCCUUGGCUGAGUCAUAAGAAAUUGAAUGCAAAGUAUCUUCCAUGAAACUAUGGUGAUAGUAACAGCUGACAUCUGACUGCUUCAUAUGCCCUAGGCACUGGGCUGAGUGCUUUAAACAGUAAUAGUAACAACAGUAGCAGUAAUGAUGAUGGCUGAUGAGCACUGAAUGUUUAGUUGGUGGCAGACACUAGUCUAAAUCGUUAUAAAGUUUUAUCUCAUGUGAUUCUCACAACUACUAAUUAGGAAAAUGAGGCAGCUGGUGGUUAAGGAACUUGCUUGAGGUCACCAAGCUAAGUGGCAGUGCCAGGGUUCAAACUCAGGUGGUUUAAAUUCUGAAGCCCACACUCUUAACCAGAAUGCUGUGUGUACUCUCUAUACACCUGCACUUAAUCCUCAAAAAUCCUAUGACAGAAGUAUGCUACUAUCCUCCUUUUCUGGAUAAGAACACAGAGAUUCAGAGAGGUAAAGUAAACUUGUCACACAGCUAAUGAGAGACAGAGCUGGGAUUUGAUAGCAAAGCCUGUGCUCUCAUUCCACUCUGCAAGCGGCUUGGGGAGACCCAGUCUGUGGAAGGCCCUUUGCUUCCACUUUGCACAGGUGGGAAUUUGAAGGGUACAGUUUAAGAGUUUGUCGUUUGGAUUGUGGGGGAGGCAGAUUGGGAGAAGAUGAGGGGUUGCCUAUAUCUCAGGGAAGAGAGUUGGCUUACCAGGCACAGUUUAAUUUUAUCAGUGGUCUCUAGCCAAAACUCACCAGGAAUACACCCACAGUCUAACAAAUUUGGGUUUCUUGACGCAUUGCGAUGAAGGAGAUGUUCACCAUAAGCACUGUGGAGUGUUUCAGUACGCGGGUAUCAGAAAGGACUUACUGCAAGAUUUGGCUUGUGUUAGGUGAUUCAGGGAGGGUUGAAGGAAGCAGGGCUUUGCUUUGGAUGGCUGCUGUCAGGAAGUGGGGAUAGUCCUAUAACGGGAUCCUAAUGAUUCUUACCUAGAAGGAAAGAAGACUAGCUGGACACUAACGCUGCGAUUGGUCAGGAAGCAGCAGUCACUCAUGUUAGGGGGAUGGCUGCUCUUUUUUUGUGGUUUGGACAAUGUUCAUGUUCUGCCUGUGUUUGGACAUGAUAACGGAGUGGUCCUGUUUGCGUCUUGAUCCAUCACAGUCACACGGUGACUUUGUCUGAUGAUGUUUUGUGAAGUGCUCUGUGGUCAGCCACGAACACCAAGGCCCAGCUGUGGGAGCCAGGCCAGCUCCCAGCCUUCAGGGACUGCUUUUCUCCUUCUCAUUUUCUAGAAGUCUUUUGGAUGCUAAAAGGCUUAUUUAAAGCUUCUCCCAAUUGUGACACAGAGUGGAUUUUUGGAAUUUGUUGCUUCUUGAACCAUGGCUACUGGUCAGUUGUGAAGAUACUAUUCUAGGUAGACCAAGAGCAAGGUCCUGAUGCCAAACAGGGAAACCAGCUGAAAAGCAACUCUGUGUAAGCAGUUUUCUUCAUAUGUUCUACCUGCCAUCAGGUCAAACAAGUGCUUGAAAUCGUCAAAGUUUUUUUUUUAAAGCAAAAGGCAAAUGAAACCAAAUGCAACCAGGCAUCUACCAGGUCCCAGACACUGUGCGAGGGGGUCUUUAACCUAUCAUCCCACAACCCUGGGAAAAGGAACCCCAAUUUACAAGUGAGGGCAGAGGCCUUGGGGGGUCCAGGUGCCCAAGGUCGCUCAGCAGGUAGGUGGUGGAGCCGGGAUUUGAAUCCAGGUCAUCUGAACUCCAAGCCCAUGCUCCUCUUCAUAGUACGAACCCAUGUCUACUCAGAAAUCCUGAUACGCCACAGCAAGAGGGCAGGGUCUCCUUUCUCCAAAGUCCGACUUCCCACCAAUCACAAGGCACAAAGAAGAAGCGAGAGCCACAUCCACAAACAGACCACGGAACACUGAUGUGUAAGAUUACCUUAGGUUACCUUCUACCUUCUACCAGAAAAUACAUCUCUAUAUAUGCAUAUGCAAAUAUUCAUAUAGACGUAUGCACAUACACAGUUGAUAAACACACAAACACACGUGUACAUACACAUACUUGCCCACACAGAGUUGACACCUCACCUAUCUGGAAUUCAGCUAUCCAGCGCCCUCAUCUAUCCGGAACACAGCCGAGAAACAAGGAAGUAAGCAAAAAAGGCAUCUGAGCAGCCAGAUUAGAUGUUUACAAAGUCCAUGCACUAAAUAAAGCUCAUGCACUUAACUCCUGGGAGAAACCUUAAGGCCCCAAUUCGGAGCUUAUUUAUAUUAAUUUUCUACACGAUUCGAACAACUUGGGUCAAAUGAGAAGAUUGACACGGAGCCGCUAUACGCAGGUCACAGCACGAAUGACAGACAACAAACAGCUUAAUAGCAAGAGAUGAGGAAAUAAUAUAAAAAGUGGACACACAAACCCUGGGGCCACUUAGAGCAGGGGCACCUCAGUCAGCCCUGAGAACACGCCUGCCUCCCAGAGUACUUUAUUAAGCAGUGUUAAGUAUUAAGCAGUACUUUGCACCAGCACUGUGACUGCUGUCUUAGUGAAGGCUGGGAGAUGAUGUUUUGGAGAGAGUUCCAUCUUGUGUAGCUAAAAUAAAAAUUAAUUUUGAGUUGAAGAAUGAAAGCUAGUGGUCGCUAGCACCCUAUAAUAGAAUUUAGGUCGGCAACCCUAGAUGGGGCUGGCCCAGGGUCUUAACUUUUCUAAUCUGAAUCCCUUGAGGCUGGGCAGGGAGCCUCCAGUUCUCCACAAGCCCCACCACUCCCUCUGGUGCAGUCCUCGGCUGAUUGGCACAUUUAUGUUCCUGCCGUUUGAACCUGUGCUUCUCAGGGUGAACCCUUAGCUCCCUGGGGAAUUAUUUCCAGAACAAUCCACUCCCUUGUGGAAUCUAAGGGGUGAGGUUACAGUAUUUGAACUUCACUCAUCCUGCCUUCCUUCCCCUCUCUGAUCAUUCCAUUCCGCUUAGAUGAAUGGGUUUUUUUCCCUUUGCAGGCAGGAAGCCUGGUGCUGCAGAUCAUAAUUAUAUGCAGUGUGAUUUCGGACUGUCUUUAAAAGAUCCCCAAACAGACAUGAGAACUGGCAAGAUGUGCUCAAAACCAACUGAGGUGCCUCAGCCAUUGCCUCCUCUUCUCCAAACUGAGAUUAAACAAAAAACCAAAAAAAAUUAGAGAGAGAGAGAGAGUCACACCAUAACGGCACAGCAUGCCAUCCCUGUACCAAACCCAGAGGCUGCUUGCCUCCUGAAGCAGGAAGCAGCAGUCAUUCUAUAGGGAUGGGCUGGCCAGUUGGAGACGUGGGGUUUGACGUUACCUGGCAUGGCAUCCAUGGAGAUAUAGGGCUCGAAGGGAAUGGCCCGCUUCCUGUUACGUGUGAUUAAGAAGACGCCCAAGAAUGCGAUGAGGCACCUGAGGGGCACAAGCAAGGGAGGAAGAGAGGGAAGGCCAGAGUGAGGUUGGGAGGGAUACUUUCAAACCUGGGUAAUGGGGAAAAAAGGGAAAAGAGGGUUGCAGGCUGUAGAGGAGGCUUGCUGCUGGGCGGCCCUGAGAUCAGCAGGGAGCAGACACCAGAUGAAUGUCAGCCAAUGCGGCCCACACGAGCCUCAGUCAGGACAAAUUAGGCUCUCUUGGGCAAAACCCUCACUGUUCUUCUUCCCCACUUACCCUGUAUCUCAACCUUACCUUUCAAAAAAAAAUGUUUUUAAUUUAAAAAGUUUUUUAUGGCCUAAAUUCAAUCAAUACAGGAGCAGAGAAAGCAAAAAUUGGAAAGCCCCUGUACUCCCCUAGUCCCUUCCGCCACCCCCAAUAGAUGUGUAUUCUUCCAGAGUCUGUUUUGUUUUUUUCUUUUCCCUAGAGCUUGGAUAAACAAGCGCACUUUCUAAACAUUGGGGUAUAAUUUACAUGCAAGAAAAUGCGCAGUCCCUAGACAUGGAGCUCAAUGAAUUUCACUUGUGUACACACUCGUGUGAUCACCACCCAGGCCAAGAGGGAAGACAUUUCCAUCCCCUCCACCCCAGAAAGUUUCCUUGUGCCCCCUCCCAAUUGAUGCUAACCCUUCCCCAGAGGAAACCAGUGUUCCAACUUCCACAGAUUGGAUUUGCCUGUUCUUGAACUGCUUGUAAGUUCAGUCUUACAGUGUGUACUCUUUUAUGUCUGGUUUCUUUCACCCAAUAAAUGUUUUCAAGAUUCAUCUA